GUAAAUAUGAGGUAAGGCAUGUUUUUAUUUUUGUUUCAAAUUGAUUUUCGACUUGAAUAAAAAUCUUUGGAAGAGUUUUGCAACCUCAGAUUUAGAGUUCUUUAGAUAAAGGCAGCAUAUGCGUGUGUGAUCGUUAAUAAACAUCAGAAUGACUACCUGAUGGUCCUGAUUGAGCUAGAGAUACUAUAGGAAUAUCAAGAGUUGGCAAAGCGGGGUUCAACAAUUGUAGAAGUUGGUAUAACGACAUUGAGUAUGGUUUGUAAAUCAUGGUAUAUUUUCGCACACAAUACAAUGAUGUUAUAAUAAUUCUAGUAACAUUGUCACUUUCACUCAUCUAUUUCCAUGCCUGUCUGGGUCGUCCAUAUACU
Molecule: long non-coding RNA, 368 nt
Filed under: Olea europaea (common olive)
Lineage: Eukaryota; Viridiplantae; Streptophyta; Magnoliopsida; Lamiales; Oleaceae
Description: long non-coding RNA (OEUR_LNC000636)
Source: RNAcentral